GCCGAGGUGGCGGAAUAGGCAGACGCAGGGGACUUAAAAUCCCUUGAGCCGGGAGGCUCGUGCGGGUUCGACUCCCGCCCUCGGCA
RNAcentral lists this transfer RNA (86 nucleotides) under Candidatus Bipolaricaulota bacterium. Its description in RNAcentral is "tRNA-Leu". It matches the Rfam family "tRNA". From Rfam's summary of the family: Transfer RNA (tRNA) molecules are approximately 80 nucleotides in length. Their secondary structure includes four short double-helical elements and three loops (D, anti-codon, and T loops). Lineage: Bacteria; Candidatus Bipolaricaulota. The record is from RNAcentral.